Molecule: ribosomal RNA, 460 nt
Filed under: uncultured marine microorganism
Description: bacterial SSU rRNA
Rfam family: Bacterial small subunit ribosomal RNA
Source: RNAcentral
UGGGGAAUUUUCCGCAAUGGGCGAAAGCCUGACGGAGCAAUACCGCGUGAGGGAGGAAUGCCUUUGGGUUGUAAACCUCUUUUCUCAGGGAAGAAGACCUGACGGUACCUGAGGAAUAAGUAUCGGCUAACUCCGUGCCAGCAGCCGCGGUAAUACGGAGGAUGCAAGCGUUAUCCGGAAUCAUUGGGCGUAAAGCGUCCGCAGGUGGUUUCCAAAGUCUGCUGUUAAAGACUGGAGCUCAACUCCGGAACGGCGGUGGAAACUUGGAAACUAGAGUUCGGUAGGGGUAGCAGGAAUUCCCAGUGUAGCGGUGAAAUGCGUAGAUAUUGGGAAGAACAUCGGUGGCGAAGGCGUGCUACUGGACCGUAACUGACACUCAGGGACGAAAGCUAGGGGAGCGAAAGGGAUUGGAUACCCCUGUAGUCCUAGCUGUAAACGAUGGAAACUAGGUGUGGCUUGA